Vigna unguiculata (cowpea) is the source of this 2276-nucleotide RNA transcript. RefSeq lists it as uncharacterized. The record is from RefSeq and is a predicted model, not a curated record. NCBI's taxonomy places the organism in Eukaryota, Viridiplantae, Streptophyta, Magnoliopsida, Fabales, Fabaceae.
AAGAAGCAAGCAAAGAAAAUCCGACAUAAGACGAAUUGAAUUUGUUUCUUCUCGCUUUGUCUUUCCACCUUCACCAGAAGCUCCUUUCUCUGUUCCUAAGCGGAGUUAGGGGGUCAAAUUGAAAACGUAUCCAGUUACAAACAACAUAAGUUUUUGUUUUUUGUUUUUGUUUUUGUUUUUGUUAAUGUCCUUGCAUUCUCUUUUCCUUUCCCGCAAGCGGGUCCUCGCUUUUCUCACAAGCCACUCAACAAAAUCCGCCCCUAAACUUUAACAGAGGAUCAUUCUUCAACGCAAUUCCUCACCCCAAUGGAAGAAUCAAGUGAACUGCAAUCAGAAGAAAAUAAAGUCUCCAAUGAGAAAAAUAAGAAAAGAAAGCUGAAAACACCAGCCCAACUUACGGCCUUGGAGAAAUUUUAUGAUGAGCACAAGUACCCCACAGAGGAAAUGAAAGUAGAGCUUGCUGAGGAGUUAGGAUUGACAGAAAAGCAAAUAUCUGGAUGGUUUUGCCACAGAAGGUUAAAGGAUAAAAGAUUGAUGAAAGACGAAGCGGUUGCUAAUGGACGACAAGAUCGUUCAAGUGGUGUCAUCCAGGAUCGCGGCAGUGGACUUGGGCAAGAUUCUUGUGGAAGCAGUAAACAUGCUGAUUACAGGUAUCUGGAUGCUAAGGAGGUUGAGAGCCAUGGCUUCUACAACAACGAAAUAUCUGUUGCAGACAUGACACAAAGACGAAGGAACCAUUACCUUGAAAAUGUUAGUGGAGUGGAUGACACAUCAUCUGAGAGCAGCUCUUUCUUGCAAGAAAGGGCUUUUGCUCAAGGUCAGGAUCCAUAUGAUAUGGACCCUUCUAGACAUCUUACACCUAACGGAGCUCUUCCACCCCUGAAUCCCAAAGGUGCAGUUAACCUUGGAUACAAACCAUCAGGAUAUUUGAAAUUGAAGGGUGAGAUAGAACAUGCAGCUAUCACUGCUGUUAAGAAACAACUAGGAAGGCAUUAUGAGGAAGAUGGUCCGCUACUCGGUAUAGAAUUUGAUCCGCCUCCUCCGGGGGCCUUUGAGUGCCAAACUGAAGAUCCAGCUAAUGAACCAUUUUGUGUAGCAAAUGCUCCGGUUCUGAAUUCUCCAGAAAUCUCUGCUGCAAAAAAACCCAAUCUUAGCUCUAGAUAUGAUUCGCAUUAUACUAAAUUUAAUUCCCAAGAUUUGCAUAUGGAAGGAGCUGACUUUGGCUCCUUGCAUGAAUCUGAUUUCCAGGAUAAACAAGAUAAGAAAGCCCGUCAGAAUAUAAAACAAAGGCAACCUUACCACGGUUACAACACCCAUGUUUCUGGAAGGAACCCUUUCCCUGAUUUGUAUGAAGAUUCUACUGGAGAAGCAUCUGGCUAUAACAGUGCUAAGAAUCAUAGAAUGAGCACUAAGCAUGGGGUUGAGGGGAUGCGAUCUGAUUCUGCUUCUAACCACAGUGAUCACUUUGAGGAGAAGCUUGCGAUUAAGCCGAAAGACUUGAUGCUGCAUGGUUAUGAUAAGAUCAAUCCAAAGAGAAUACAAAAGAGUGGACAUGUUAAAUCUAAACCUUCUAGUUCAAUCCGUAACUCCCGUGUUCCCAUGGAUACUGAAGAAAGGGGAUUAUCUGCUAGGAUGGCAAAGGAAGAGAUGUUUAAGCUGGACCAGAAAGCAAAGAACACAUACCGCGAUGUAGAUGGGAGGCUUUCAAAUGAAAUCCUGGUUGCAAAGAGAGCUAAAGUUGACAUGCUUCAACAAUACCAUGUGAAACCAUCACCUGUUGCUGAGAUGGAGCAAAGGAAAAUUCACAGCAGAUGACAGCACCAAAAGCCGAGUAAAGAAUCUGAACUCUUGUUUUUCUCUCCCAUGACAAUAUAUGAUCACCCAGGUCCUCAAUAUUUUGUUUAGAUCAUGUGCAUGUUUGUUUAGAUCUGCUGCAGAGAUGCCUUCUAGCUUUAGUGAGGAUGAAACUGCUGAAACCAGUUCCUCACUAGAUUAUUAGAUGCUGUUCAUAGAUGGUAACAAGUGUGAGGGUUUUUGUCUUAAGCCAUUGGGUAUGUACAUUCUAAAACGACACAUACGUUUUCCUUUAACAUGGAAACCACUGUUUCUGACAGCAAUAGCAGUGACUCCAUUUAUUGUUCUUUGUGCUCGCCUAUUUUGCCUUUGUAAAAAAAAAUGAAAAAUGAAUUACGCCCCCCAUGUUAUUUUUUUCAUGUAAAAUCUCAUUUUCUGAAAGCUCCUUGUGGUUGAUUAAAUUCCAGCUGAUACAUUUGUUA